Long non-coding RNA from Hemiscyllium ocellatum (epaulette shark), 221 nucleotides. RefSeq lists it as uncharacterized. Lineage: Eukaryota; Metazoa; Chordata; Chondrichthyes; Orectolobiformes; Hemiscylliidae. The record is from RefSeq and is a predicted model, not a curated record. The transcript has 3 exons.
ACAAGAAUGAAACAUAGAAGUUGCUUUUGAUCCCCAUAGCUUUCUGCCAAGGUACAGAGUGGGAAAUUCUGAUGGACUGGAAUCAUCACAGGGAGAUGGCAACAGACUUUUGCUGGGAACCUAUUCCUUGCUGCUUCAAGCAAGAUCAAAGAUGCUGCCAGGCAUGCCGAGUUUUUCCAGUACUUCCUUUCUUCCUUUCAAAUUUUGAACAACCAGAGUAU